RNAcentral lists this ribosomal RNA (674 nucleotides) under uncultured archaeon. RNAcentral describes it as "bacterial SSU rRNA". It matches the Rfam family "Archaeal small subunit ribosomal RNA", at positions 151 to 828 of the family's 1478-position model. The record is from RNAcentral.
UCUCGAUAGGAGAUUUGGCCUGGAAUGGUAUUUCUCCCAAACACGUGCCAUAGGAUGGGCCGGCGGCUGAUUAGGCUGUUGGUGGGGUAACGGCCCACCAAACCAAAGAUCAGUACGGGCCUUGAGAGGGGUAGCCCGGAGAGGGACACUGAGAUACGGGUCCCAGCCCCACGGGGUGCAGCAGGCGCGAAACCUUUACAAUGCACGAAAGUGUGAUAGGGGGAUACUCAGUGCUUACGAUUAUGUCGUAGGCUUUUGUCGAUCGUAAAUAGAUCGGCGAAUAAGUGGUGGGUAAGACCGGUGCCAGCCGCCGCGGUAACCCCGGCGCCACAAGUGGUCAUCACGAUUAUUGGGCCUAAAGCGUUCGUAGCCGGUUUGGUAAAUCUCUUGUGAAAUUGUUCGGCUUAACCGGACAGCGCGCAGGGGACACUGCCAGACUCGAGACCGGGAGGCGCAAGAAGUAUGGCAUGGGGACUGGUAAAAUGGGAUAAUCCAUGCUAGACUACCGAUGGCGAAGGCAUCUUGCGAGAACGGAUCUGACGGUGAGGAACGAAAGCCAGGGGAGCGAACCGGAUUAGAUACCCGAGUAGUCCUGGCCGUAAACGCUGUGAGCUAGGUGUCGCGUAUCUCAUGAAGAUGCGCGGUGUCGAAAAGAAGUUGCUAAGCUCACCGCC